GCAUAUCAAUAAGCGGAGGAAAAGAAACCAACAGGGAUUGCCCUAGUAACGGCGAGUGAAGCGGCAACAGCUCAAAUUUGAAAUCUGGCUCUCGGGCCCGAGUUGUAAUUUGUAGAGGAUACUUUUGAUGCGGUGCCUUCCGAGUUCCCUGGAACGGGACGCCAUAGAGGGUGAGAGCCCCGUCUGGUUGGAUGCCAAAUCUCUGUAAAGUUCCUUCAACGAGUCGAGUAGUUUGGGAAUGCUGCUCUAAAUGGGAGGUAUAUGUCUUCUAAAGCUAAAUACCGGCCAGAGACCGAUAGCGCACAAGUAGAGUGAUCGAAAGAUGAAAAGCACUUUGAAAAGAGAGUUAAAAAGUACGUGAAAUUGUUGAARGGGAAGCGUUUAUGACCAGACUUGGGCUUGGUUAAUCAUCUGGGGUUCUCCCCWGUGCACUUUUCCWGUCCAGGCCAGCAUCAGUUUUCCCCGGGGGAUAAAGGCGGMGGGAAUGUGGCUCUCUUCGGGGAGUGUUAUAGCCCACCGUGUAAUACCCUGGGGGGGACUGAGGUUCKCGCAUCUGCAAGGAUGCUGGCGUAAUGGUCAUCAACGACCCGUCUUGAAACACGGACCAAGGAGUCGUCUUCKUAUGCGAGUGUUCGGGUGUCAAACCCCUACGCGUAAUGAAAGUGAACSCAGGUGAGAGCUUCGGCGCAUCAUCGACCGAUCCUGAUGUUCUCGGAUGGAUUUGAGUAAGAGYAUACGGGGCCGGACCCGAAAGAAGGUGAACUAUGCCUGUAUAGGGUGAAGCCAGAGGAAACUCUGGUGGAGGCUCGCAGCGGUUCUGACGUGCAAAUCGAUCGUCAAAUAUGGGCAUGGGGGCGAAAGACUAAUCGAACCUUCUAGUAGCUGGUUU
This 889-nucleotide ribosomal RNA is filed under the name Fusarium oxysporum f. sp. pisi. RNAcentral describes it as "LSU rRNA". It matches the Rfam family "Eukaryotic large subunit ribosomal RNA", at positions 38 to 957 of the family's 3401-position model. The record is from RNAcentral. Lineage: Eukaryota; Fungi; Ascomycota; Sordariomycetes; Hypocreales; Nectriaceae.